UGGGGAAUUUUGCACAAUGGGCGCAAGCCUGAUGCAGCCAUGCCGCGUGUGUGAAGAAGGCCUUCGGGUUGUAAAGCACUUUCAGCGGGGAGGAAGGCGUUAAGGUUAAUAACCUUGGCGAUUGACGUUACCCGCAGAAGAAGCACCGGCUAACUCCGUGCCAGCAGCCGCGGUAAUACGGAGGGUGCAAGCGUUAAUCGGAAUUACUGGGCGUAAAGCGCACGCAGGCGGUCUGUUAAGUCAGAUGUGAAAUCCCCGGGCUCAACCUGGGAACUGCAUCUGAUACUGGCAAGCUUGAGUCUCGUAGAGGGGGGUAAAAUUCCAGGUGUAGCGGUGAAAUGCGUGGAGAUCUGGGGGAAUACCGGUGGCGAAGGCGGCCCCCUGGACGAAGACUGACGCUCAGGUGCGAAAGCGUGGGGAGCAAACAGG
RNAcentral lists this ribosomal RNA (429 nucleotides) under Chloroflexota bacterium. RNAcentral describes it as "Chloroflexi bacterium partial 16S ribosomal RNA". It matches the Rfam family "Bacterial small subunit ribosomal RNA", at positions 355 to 776 of the family's 1533-position model. The record is from RNAcentral. Lineage: Bacteria; Bacillati; Chloroflexota.